This 1627-nucleotide ribosomal RNA is filed under the name Shigella flexneri. Its description in RNAcentral is "partial 23S ribosomal RNA". It matches the Rfam family "Bacterial large subunit ribosomal RNA", at positions 603 to 2215 of the family's 2925-position model. Lineage: Bacteria; Pseudomonadati; Pseudomonadota; Gammaproteobacteria; Enterobacterales; Enterobacteriaceae. The record is from RNAcentral.
ACCUUUUGUAUAAUGGGUCAGCGACUUAUAUUCUGUAGCAAGGUUAACCGAAUAGGGGAGCCGAAGGGAAACCGAGUCUUAACUGGGCGUUAAGUUGCAGGGUAUAGACCCGAAACCCGGUGAUCUAGCCAUGGGCAGGUUGAAGGUUGGGUAACACUAACUGGAGGACCGAACCGACUAAUGUUGAAAAAUUAGCGGAUGACUUGUGGCUGGGGGUGAAAGGCCAAUCAAACCGGGAGAUAGCUGGUUCUCCCCGAAAGCUAUUUAGGUAGCGCCUCGUGAAUUCAUCUCCGGGGGUAGAGCACUGUUUCGGCAAGGGGGUCAUCCCGACUUACCAACCCGAUGCAAACUGCGAAUACCGGAGAAUGUUAUCACGGGAGACACACGGCGGGUGCUAACGUCCGUCGUGAAGAGGGAAACAACCCAGACCGCCAGCUAAGGUCCCAAAGUCAUGGUUAAGUGGGAAACGAUGUGGGAAGGCCCAGACAGCCAGGAUGUUGGCUUAGAAGCAGCCAUCAUUUAAAGAAAGCGUAAUAGCUCACUGGUCGAGUCGGCCUGCGCGGAAGAUGUAACGGGGCUAAACCAUGCACCGAAGCUGCGGCAGCGACGCUUAUGCGUUGUUGGGUAGGGGAGCGUUCUGUAAGCCUGUGAAGGUGUGCUGUGAGGUAUGCUGGAGGUAUCAGAAGUGCGAAUGCUGACAUAAGUAACGAUAAAGCGGGUGAAAAGCCCGCUCGCCGGAAGACCAAGGGUUCCUGUCCAACGUUAAUCGGGGCAGGGUGAGUCGACCCCUAAGGCGAGGCCGAAAGGCGUAGUCGAUGGGAAACAGGUUAAUAUUCCUGUACUUGGUGUUACUGCGAAGGGGGGACGGAGAAGGCUAUGUUGGCCGGGCGACGGUUGUCCCGGUUUAAGCGUGUAGGCUGGUUUUCCAGGCAAAUCCGGAAAAUCAAGGCCGAGGCGUGAUGACGAGGCACUACGGUGCUGAAGCAACAAAUGCCCUGCUUCCAGGAAAAGCCUCUAAGCAUCAGGUAACAUCAAAUCGUACCCCAAACCGACACAGGUGGUCAGGUAGAGAAUACCAAGGCGCUUGAGAGAACUCGGGUGAAGGAACUAGGCAAAAUGGUGCCGUAACUUCGGGAGAAGGCACGCUGAUACGUAGGUGAAGCGACUUGCUCGUGGAGCUGAAAUCAGUCGAAGAUACCAGCUGGCUGCAACUGUUUAUUAAAAACACAGCACUGUGCAAACACGAAAGUGGACGUAUACGGUGUGACGCCUGCCCGGUGCCGGAAGGUUAAUUGAUGGGGUUAGCGCAAGCGAAGCUCUUGAUCGAAGCCCCGGUAAACGGCGGCCGUAACUAUAACGGUCCUAAGGUAGCGAAAUUCCUUGUCGGGUAAGUUCCGACCUGCACGAAUGGCGUAAUGAUGGCCAGGCUGUCUCCACCCGAGACUCAGUGAAAUUGAACUCGCUGUGAAGAUGCAGUGUACCCGCGGCAAGACGGAAAGACCCCGUGAACCUUUACUAUAGCUUGACACUGAACAUUGAGCCUUGAUGUGUAGGAUAGGUGGGAGGCUUUGAAGUGUGGACGCCAGUCUGCAUGGAGCCGACCUUGAAAUACCACCCUUUAAUGUUU